Molecule: unclassified non-coding RNA, 239 nt
Filed under: Hevea brasiliensis (rubber tree)
Lineage: Eukaryota; Viridiplantae; Streptophyta; Magnoliopsida; Malpighiales; Euphorbiaceae
Source: RNAcentral
AGAGAAAAGAGGAAGAAAUGAUCUGCAAAAUAUGUGGUGAAUCAGGCCAUUUUACUCAGGGAUGCCCUUCAACCUUGGGAUCAAAUCGUAAAUCUCAAGAUUUUUUUGAAAGGGUACCAGCCAGGGAUAAACAUGUGAGAGCAAUUUUCACUGAUAGGGUAGUACAGAAAAUUGAAAAGGAUGUUGGUUGUAAGAUCAAGAUGGAUGAGAAAUUCAUAAUUGUUAGUGGCAAGGACAGG